UGUAAACUUCGAAGCGUGCGACUAUGUC
This 28-nucleotide small RNA is filed under the name Bombyx mori (domestic silkworm). RNAcentral describes it as "ovarian small RNA-35275". Lineage: Eukaryota; Metazoa; Arthropoda; Insecta; Lepidoptera; Bombycidae. The record is from RNAcentral.